This 72-nucleotide transfer RNA is filed under the name Rheum officinale. RNAcentral's name for it is "tRNA-Cys". The stretch from base 9 to 72 matches the Rfam family "tRNA", at positions 1 to 63 of the family's 71-position model. Rfam says of the family: Transfer RNA (tRNA) molecules are approximately 80 nucleotides in length. Their secondary structure includes four short double-helical elements and three loops (D, anti-codon, and T loops). The record is from RNAcentral. Lineage: Eukaryota; Viridiplantae; Streptophyta; Magnoliopsida; Caryophyllales; Polygonaceae. RNAcentral also lists the same sequence under 1 other name.
UUUUUUUUGGCGACAUGGCCGAGCGGUAAGGCGGAGGACUGCAAAUCCUUUUUUCCCCGGUUCAAAUCUGGG